UUGGAGGGCAAGUCUGGUGCCAGCAGCCGCGGUAAUUCCAGCUCCAAUAGCGUAUAUUAAAGUUGUUGCAGUUAAAAAGCUCGUAGUUGAACUUCGGGAUCAAUGGGUCGGUCGUGCCCUCGGUACGUACUUGGUUUUUAUUGGUUCUCACCUUCUAAUGAACCAUAAUGUCAUUCAUUUGAUGUUAGUGGGGAAUUAGGACUGUUACCUAGAAAAAAUUGAGUGUUUAAAGCAGGCUAACGCUUGAAUACAUUAGCAUGGAAUAAUGAAAUAGGACAUCGCAUUCUUAUUUUGUUGGUUUCUAGGAUCGAUGUAAUGAUUAAGUAGGGA
Molecule: ribosomal RNA, 330 nt
Filed under: Glomus sp.
Lineage: Eukaryota; Fungi; Glomeromycota; Glomeromycetes; Glomerales; Glomeraceae
Description: SSU rRNA
Rfam family: Eukaryotic small subunit ribosomal RNA
Source: RNAcentral